This 459-nucleotide ribosomal RNA is filed under the name uncultured bacterium. RNAcentral's name for it is "bacterial SSU rRNA". It matches the Rfam family "Bacterial small subunit ribosomal RNA", at positions 1 to 507 of the family's 1533-position model. The record is from RNAcentral.
ACGAGUUUGAUCAUGGCUCAGGAUAAACGCUGGCGGCGUGCCUAACACAUGCAAGUCGAACGAUCCCGCAAGGGAGAGUGGCGGAAGGGUGAGUAACACGUGGGAAUCUACCUCCUCGCAGGGAACAACCUCUCGAAAGAGAGGCUAAUACCCAAAAGGGUCAGAAAUGAUCAGAGUCGAAAGGCGUGAGGAGAGGAGCCCGCGGCCCAUCAGCUAGUUGGUGAGGUAAUGGCUUACCAAGGCUACGACGGGUAGGGGAUCUGAGAGGAUGUCCCCCCACACUGGAACUGAAACACGGUCCAGACGCCUACGGGUGGCAGCAGUGAGGAAUAUUGGACAAUGGGCGAAAGCCCGAUCCAGCAACGCCGCGUGGAGGAUGAAGGCCUUCGGGUCGUAAACUUCUUUAGAGGGAGACGAGAAAGGACGGUAUCCCUAGAAUAAGCGACGGCAAACUACGUG